GAUGAACGCUGGCGGCGUGCCUAAUACAUGCAAGUCGAGCGAACGGACGAGAAGCUUGCUUCUCUGAUGUUAGCGGCGGACGGGUGAGUAACACGUGGAUAACCUACCUAUAAGACUGGGAUAACUUCGGGAAACCGGAGCUAAUACCGGAUAAUAUUUUGAACCGCAUGGUUCAAAAGUGAAAGACGGUCUUGCUGUCACUUAUAGAUGGAUCCGCGCUGCAUUAGCUAGUUGGUAAGGUAACGGCUUACCAAGGCAACGAUGCAUAGCCGACCUGAGAGGGUGAUCGGCCACACUGGAACUGAGACACGGUCCAGACUCCUACGGGAGGCAGCAGUAGGGAAUCUUCCGCAAUGGGCGAAAGCCUGACGGAGCAACGCCGCGUGAGUGAUGAAGGUCUUCGGAUCGUAAAACUCUGUUAUUAGGGAAGAACAUAUGUGUGAGUAACUGUGCACAUCUUGACGGUACCUAAUCAGAAAGCCACGGCUAACUACGUGCCAGCAGCCGCGGUAAUACGUAGGUGGCAAGCGUUAUCCGGAAUUAUUGGGCGUAAAGCGCGCGUAGGCGGUUUUUUAAGUCUGAUGUGAAAGCCCACGGCUCAACCGUGGAGGGUCAUUGGAAACUGGAAAACUUGAGUGCAGAAGAGGAAAGUGGAAUUCCAUGUGUAGCGGUGAAAUGCGCAGAGAUAUGGAGGAACACCAGUGGCGAAGGCGACUUUCUGGUCUGUAACUGACGCUGAUGUGCGAAAGCGUGGGGAUCAAACAGGAUUAGAUACCCUGGUAGUCCACGCCGUAAACGAUGAGUGCUAAGUGUUAGGGGGUUUCCGCCCCUUAGUGCUGCAGCUAACGCAUUAAGCACUCCGCCUGGGGAGUACGACCGCAAGGUUGAAACUCAAAGGAAUUGACGGGGACCCGCACAAGCGGUGGAGCAUGUGGUUUAAUUCGAAGCAACGCGAAGAACCUUACCAAAUCUUGACAUCCUUUGACAACUCUAGAGAUAGAGCCUUCCCCUUCGGGGGACAAAGUGACAGGUGGUGCAUGGUUGUCGUCAGCUCGUGUCGUGAGAUGUUGGGUUAAGUCCCGCAACGAGCGCAACCCUUAAGCUUAGUUGCCAUCAUUAAGUUGGGCACUCUAAGUUGACUGCCGGUGACAAACCGGAGGAAGGUGGGGAUGACGUCAAAUCAUCAUGCCCCUUAUGAUUUGGGCUACACACGUGCUACAAUGGACAAUACAAAGGGCAGCGAAACCGCGAGGUCAAGCAAAUCCCAUAAAGUUGUUCUCAGUUCGGAUUGUGGUCUGCAACUCGACUACAUGAAGCUGGAAUCGCUAGUAAUCGUAGAUCAGCAUGCUACGGUGAAUACGUUCCCGGGUCU
RNAcentral lists this ribosomal RNA (1372 nucleotides) under uncultured bacterium. Its description in RNAcentral is "bacterial SSU rRNA". It matches the Rfam family "Bacterial small subunit ribosomal RNA", at positions 28 to 1381 of the family's 1533-position model. The record is from RNAcentral.